ACGCACCGAACGAAGAUUGGCGCAAGACUCGGCCCAAAUCUCCCGAACUCUCCUCCAAAUCGCCCCCAAAUCUAGUCCGAUGUGUGCCCUCGUCGCCGCCGCCCCCAAACGCGAUGUGCCCUUGCCGCCGCCGCCGCCGCCGCCCCCGCCCCCAACCACCGCACCCAGCCUCCUCCAUCUGACUAUGUUCUCACCCCCAAGCAGCGGAUCGUCCGUCCCCUCUCACCCAUGUCGCCGCCGCCUCCUCACAUGCGUCACCGCAUCCCUUAUCUUCUCGCCGGCGGCGCCUCUUUCUUUCGCCCCACAUCGCCUCUCGGUGGAGUUAAAGGUGGCUUUUUGGUGAAGAGGAGGUGUGGCGGCGGCAAGGAGCAGCGAAAGGAGCUGUGCAGCCGGAUGAUUCUGAAGCUGCUGGAUCUGAAGCGGGACGAUGUCGCCGUGUAGCUGGAGCGGUAGGAGCGUGGGCACGCGGCGGCCUUCUCCUGCUUGAUGGCGACAGCGACGAACACGAGGGCUCCCCAUCGCCCUCGACCUGUAAGGAGGAGCGCCUACCCCCAGGUCGGGCCUGAGAUGUGCAGCAGCAGCAGCAGGGGGCGAGGAGGCAGGCGUCGUGGUGGUGGGCUCGUCUUUGAGGCACUCGAGGUCGUGCGCGGCAUCAUGGACGCCCGGCAGCUGCGGGUCCCCAUUCAGGCUGCGGCAUCUCCUCCAUGCGCGCCGCCAUGGUCCUCUGCUGCGUCAACAGCGAAUUGUGGAGAUGUCUGUGUCUGCAGGUAAACCUCUUGCGCCUGACCAUGAGCACUAGCGAGCUGCUGGGCUGAACAUGCUGGGGACAUGUUGUCCGUGAACAUAUAGUUGACCGUGAGGACAGUAACUUCAGGAGCUGCUAAUAAUUCAGCUACUCCCCUGCCCCUGAUAUUUCUCUCGUUGUUGUCUGUACAUGCUCGGAAUAACUUGACUCCUUCAGCUACUGUUAAUUGUUGACUUGUUGUUGUUGUUGUUAUUUGAACAUGCUGGGUGUACUGUAGGAGUACUUGUAUUGUUGCUUAAAUAUUUGCUUGGAGUAAAUGAUGUAGUUCAACUGAAAUCAAAAUUUCCGAAAUAAUGUUUAUCAAGGGUUGUAUGUACUGAAAUCAACAUCUCUGAAACAACAUUCAGAUAUGCGGGAUUCUAAUGCCUGAUAAUAUGGUUGAGAUAUGCUAGAUAAUGCUCCAUUUCAAAUUGGAUAAUGCUAGAUAGUGUGAGAUGCCGUCCGACAAACUGGGCACAUCCACCUCCGUGCCACUGUUUCCGGGGCAGAUUUAUUUUUUGAGGGGCGUUUCCUGGGCAAAUUGUGUUGGCAGGUGACGAAAUAGAUCUGGGCGCGUGGCCGGUGGCGGAGGGAUCCAGCCCUAGGAAGGCAGGAACAACUUUCAUCCUCGACUACUCAUCCCCACCUGUGAAAUUAGCUGGAAGUGAAUAAGUCUGGCAAAAGCAACAAUGCGAUCACAUGCUAGUCUCGAGGGAUUUCUCAAAGAUACACAAGCUGAUGGUGGUUUGGAAGAUGUACAAGUUGCUGGAGGUUUGGAAGAUCUACAAGUUGCUGGAGUGACAAUGUAUAUGUAAUAUACCUUAUUUGUUGAACCUUGAGACAUCGGCAAGUUUUAUACUACCUUUGGUUGGUUGUUUCAGCACACAAGCCAUUGUAUGCUUAUUUUGGUUGUGUGGCACGAUUUCUUUAGCUUAAACAUAUGUACUUUGCCUUCUGAGGCACAAUGUCAUUAGAAACGUAUAUUUUUUAUCUGUUUUAUGUUAUUGAA
Molecule: long non-coding RNA, 1793 nt
Organism: Triticum dicoccoides
Lineage: Eukaryota; Viridiplantae; Streptophyta; Magnoliopsida; Poales; Poaceae
Exons: 3
Source: RefSeq, a predicted model, not a curated record